Molecule: ribosomal RNA, 257 nt
Filed under: uncultured Piloderma
Lineage: Eukaryota; Fungi; Basidiomycota; Agaricomycetes; Atheliales; Atheliaceae
Description: partial 28S ribosomal RNA
Rfam family: Eukaryotic large subunit ribosomal RNA
Source: RNAcentral
UUGACCUCAAAUCAGGUAGGACUACCCGCUGAACUUAAGCAUAUCAAUAAGCGGAGGAAAAGAAACUAACAAGGAUUCCCCUAGUAACUGCGAGUGAAGCGGGAAAAGCUCAAAUUUAAAAUCUGGCGGUCUUGCGGCCGUCCGAGUUGUAAUCUGGAGAAGCGUUUAUCCGCGUCGGACCGUGUACAAGUCUUCUGGAAGGGAGCGUCGUAGAGGGUGAGAAUCCCGUCUUUGACACGGACAACCGGUGCUUUUGU